This 403-nucleotide ribosomal RNA is filed under the name uncultured bacterium. Its description in RNAcentral is "bacterial SSU rRNA". It matches the Rfam family "Bacterial small subunit ribosomal RNA", at positions 355 to 774 of the family's 1533-position model. The record is from RNAcentral.
UGAGGAAUAUUGCACAAUGGGCGCAAGCCUGAUGCAGCAACGCCGCGUGGGCGAUGAAGGCCUUCGGGUCGUAAAGCCCUUUUUGAGGGGAUGAGGAAGGACAGUACCCUCAGAAUAAGCCUCGGCUAACUACGUGCCAGCAGCCGCGGUAAAACGUAGGAGGCGAGCGUUAUCCGGAUUUACUGGGCGUAAAGCGCGUGCAGGCGGAUUGGAGAGUUGGAUGUGAAAGCUCCCGGCUUAACUGGGAGAGGUCGUUCAAUACUUCCAGUCUUGAGUGCAGUAGAGGGAAGUGGAAUUCCGGGUGUAGUGGUGAAAUGCGUAGAUAUCCGGAGGAACACCAGUGGCGAAAGCGGCUUCCUGGACUGUAACUGACGCUCAGACGCGAAAGCUAGGGUAGCAAACG